GAGUUGGGCCUGCUCGGUGAGAAGAAAAAUUUAACAGCUGCGGUAUUAUAACUGUACUAAGGUAGCAUAAUAAUUUGCCUUAUAAAUUAAGGCUAGAAUGAAUGGUUUGACGAAAAUUAGACUGUCUUUGUUUUAUUUGUUAGAAAUUAAUUUUUAUAGUGAAAAAGCUUGAAUAAUUUAAGGGGACGAGAAGACCCUAUUGAGCUUAUUUAUUAAUAUUUGAAUAUAAAAUAUAUAAUUUAUAUUAUGUAAAUUAUAUGUUGUAAAUAUAUAUAUGUAUAUUUAAUUGGAGUUAAUUUUGAUUGGGGUGAUCAAGGAAUAAAAAUAAAGUAACUUCCUUAAAAUUAAAGAUUGUUUAUAGAAUAAUAAACCAAGUUUUUUGCUUAUAAGAUAAGUUACCAUAGGGGUAACAGCGUAAUUUUUUUUGAGAGUUCAUAUUGAAAAAAGAGAUUGCGACCUCGAUGUUGGAUUAAAAAUUACCUUAAGGUGUAGAGGCUUUAUUGGGUGAAUCUGUUCGAUUUUUAAAAUUUU
Molecule: ribosomal RNA, 531 nt
Filed under: Octopus variabilis
Lineage: Eukaryota; Metazoa; Mollusca; Cephalopoda; Octopoda; Octopodidae
Description: partial 16S ribosomal RNA
Rfam family: Bacterial large subunit ribosomal RNA
Source: RNAcentral